This 255-nucleotide ribosomal RNA is filed under the name uncultured bacterium. Its description in RNAcentral is "partial 16S ribosomal RNA". It matches the Rfam family "Bacterial small subunit ribosomal RNA", at positions 524 to 776 of the family's 1533-position model. The record is from RNAcentral.
UACGAAGGGUGCAAGCGUUACUCGGAAUUACUGGGCGUAAAGCGUGCGUAGGUGGUUUGUUAAGUCUGUUGUGAAAGCCCCGGGCUCAACCUGGGAAUGGCAAUGGAUACUGGCAAGCUAGAGUGCGGUAGAGGGUAGUGGAAUUCCCGGUGUAGCGGUGAAAUGCGUAGAGAUCGGGAGGAACACCAGUGGCGAAGGCGGCUACCUGGACCAGCACUGACACUGAGGCACCGAAAGCGUGGGGGAGCAAACAGG